GACGAACGCUGGCGGCGUGCCUAAUACAUGCAAGUCGAGCGGACGGAUGGGAGCUUGCUCCCAGACCGUCAGCGGCGGACGGGUGAGUACACGUGGGCAACCUGCCUGUAAGACUGGGAUAACUCCGGGAAACCGGGGCUAAUACCGGAUAACUCUUUCCCUCACAUGAGGGAAAGCUGAAAGAUGGCAUCUCGCUAUCACUUACAGAUGGGCCCGCGGCGCAUUAGCUAGUUGGUGAGGUAACGGCUCACCAAGGCGACGAUGCGUAGCCGACCUGAGAGGGUGAUCGGCCACACUGGGACUGAGACACGGCCCAGACUCCUACGGGAGGCAGCAGUAGGGAAUCUUCCGCAAUGGACGAAAGUCUGACGGAGCAACGCCGCGUGAGUGAUGAAGGUUUUCGGAUCGUAAAACUCUGUUGUCAGGGAAGAACAAGUACCGGAGUAACUGCCGGUACCUUAACGGUACCUGACCAGAAAGCCACGGCUAACUACGUG
Molecule: ribosomal RNA, 497 nt
Filed under: uncultured bacterium
Lineage: Bacteria
Description: partial 16S ribosomal RNA
Rfam family: Bacterial small subunit ribosomal RNA
Source: RNAcentral